CAGCAGCCACGGUAAUACGAAGGGGGCUAGCGUUGUUCGGAAUUACUGGGCGUAAAGGGUGCGUAGGCGGUUUGGCAAGUCUUGUGUGAAAUCUUCGGGCUCAACCCGAAGCCUGCACGAGAAACUACCGGGCUUGAGUAUUGGAGAGGUGAGUGGAAUUUCCGGUGUAGCGGUGAAAUGCGUAGAUAUCGGAAGGAACACCUGUGGCGAAAGCGGCUCACUGGACAAUAACUGACGCUGAUGCACGAAAGCUAGGGGAGCAAACAGGAUUAGAGACCCCAGUAGUCCCUGUCUCUUAUAA
Molecule: ribosomal RNA, 301 nt
Filed under: uncultured bacterium
Lineage: Bacteria
Description: partial 16S ribosomal RNA
Rfam family: Bacterial small subunit ribosomal RNA
Source: RNAcentral